RNAcentral lists this ribosomal RNA (497 nucleotides) under uncultured bacterium. Its description in RNAcentral is "partial 16S ribosomal RNA". It matches the Rfam family "Bacterial small subunit ribosomal RNA", at positions 28 to 507 of the family's 1533-position model. The record is from RNAcentral.
GAUGAACGCUGGCGGCGUGCCUAAUACAUGCAAGUCGAGCGAACGGACGAGAAGCUUGCUUCUCUGAUGUUAGCGGCGGACGGGUGAGUAACACGUGGAUAACCUACCUAUAAGACUGGGAUAACUUCGGGAAACCGGAGCUAAUACCGGAUAAUAUUUUGAACCGCAUGGUUCAAAAGUGAAAGACGGUCUUGCUGUCACUUAUAGAUGGAUCCGCGCUGCAUUAGCUAGUUGGUAAGGUAACGGCUUACCAAGGCAACGAUGCAUAGCCGACCUGAGAGGGUGAUCGGCCACACUGGAACUGAGACACGGUCCAGACUCCUACGGGAGGCAGCAGUAGGGAAUCUUCCGCAAUGGGCGAAAGCCUGACGGAGCAACGCCGCGUGAGUGAUGAAGGUCUUCGGAUCGUAAAACUCUGUUAUUAGGGAAGAACAUAAGUGUAAGUAACUGUGCACAUCUUGACGGCACCUAAUCAGAAAGCCACGGCUAACUACGUG